Molecule: ribosomal RNA, 460 nt
Filed under: uncultured bacterium
Lineage: Bacteria
Description: partial 16S ribosomal RNA
Rfam family: Bacterial small subunit ribosomal RNA
Source: RNAcentral
CCUACGGGAGGCUGCAGUGAGGAAUAUUGGUCAAUGGACGAGAGUCUGAACCAGCCAAGUAGCGUGAAGGAUGACUGCCCUAUGGGUUGUAAACUUCUUUUAUAUGGGAAUAAAAUGUUCCACGUGUGGGCUUUUGUAUGUACCAUAUGAAUAAGGAUCGGCUAACUCCGUGCCAGCAGCCGGUGUAAUACGGAGGAUCCGAGCGUUAUCCGGAUUUAUUGGGUUUAAAGGGAGCGUAGGUGGAUUGUUAAGUCAGUUGUGAAAGUUUGCGGCUCAACCGUAAAAUUGCAGUUGAAACUGGCAGUCUUGAGUACAGUAGAGGUGAGCGGAAUUCGUGGUGUAGCGGUGAAAUGCUUAGAUAUCACGAAGAACUCCGAUUGCGAAGGCAGCUCACUGGACUGCAACUGACACUGAGGCUCGAAAGUGUGGGUAUCAAACAGGAUUAGAUACCCUAGUAGUC